UAAAAGGGUUUCUGCCGUGAGUGGCACUCGGGCGGGGCCCCGCGCCUCGUCCGUGCGGAAUCGAUAUCAAGAGAUUUCGGAAGCACAAUUUUUGUUCUGAGGGGCUGCUGGUGACCGAGCGUCCCGGCGCCCCG
Molecule: small nuclear RNA, 134 nt
Organism: Pristis pectinata (smalltooth sawfish)
Lineage: Eukaryota; Metazoa; Chordata; Chondrichthyes; Rhinopristiformes; Pristidae
Product: U11 spliceosomal RNA
Exons: 1
Source: RefSeq, a predicted model, not a curated record